ACUGCUAAGACUGGAUAGGAGACAAGAAGGCAUCUUCUUGUUUUUAAAAGACCUAGCAAUAGGUAUGCUUAGGGAGGAGCUUGCGUCACAUUAGUUAGGUGGUGGGUUAAGGCUUUACCAAGAAUUGGAUGUGUAGCCGGGCUGGGAGCUCCACGGCCUCAUUGCGGGUGCGACACCGCCCCAAGUCCUGCGGGAGGCAGCAUUAGGGCACUCUCGGCAAUGGAGGAAACUCUGACCGAGCUACGCAGAGUGAACGAUGUAGUAUUUCGGUACGUAAAGUUCUUUUAGUAGGGAAGAAUAAAAGAUGGAAAAAUCAUUCUGACGGUACCUAAUGAAUAAGCCCCGGCUAACUAUGUGCCAGCAGGCGCGGUAAUACAUAGGGGGCAAGCGUUAUCCGGAAUUAUUGGGCGUAAAGGGUGCGUAGGCGGUUAAAUAAGUUUAUGGUCUAAGUGCAAUGCUCAACAUUGUGAUGCUAUAAACACUGUUUAGCUAGAGUAAGAUAGAGGCAAGUGGAAUUCCAUGUGUAGUGGUAAAAUGCGUAAAUAUAUGGAGGAACACCAGUAGCGAAGGCGGCUUGCUGGGUCUUUACUGACGCUGAGGCACGAAAGCGUGGGGAGCAAACAGGAUUAGAUACCCUGGUAGUCCACGCCGUAAACGAUGAGUACUAAACGUUGGGUAAAACCAGUGUUGAAGUUAACACAUUAAGUACUCCGCCUGAGUAGUACGUACGCAAGUAUGAAACUUAAAGGAAUUGACGGGACUCCGCACAAGCGGUGGAUCAUGUUGUUUAAUUCGAAGGUACCCGAAAAACCUCACCAGGUCUUGACAUGCUUCUGCAAAGCUGUAGAAACACAGUGGAGGUUAUCAGUUGCACAGGUGGUGCAUGGUUGUCGUCAGCUCGUGUCGUGAGAUGUUGGGUUAAGUCCCGCAACGAGCGCAACCCUUAUUGUUAGUUACCAGCACGUAAUGGUGGGGACUUUAGCAAGACUGCCAGUGAUAAAUUGGAGGAAGGUGGGGACGACGUCAAAUCAUCAUGCCCCUUAUGACCUGGGCUACAAACGUGAUACAAUGGCUGUUACAAAGGGUAGCUGAAGCGCAAGUUUUUGGCGAAUCUCAAAAAAACAGUCUCAGUUCGGAUUGAAGUCUGCAACUCGACUUCAUGAAGUUGGAAUCGCUAGUAAUCGCGAAUCAGCAUGUCGCGG
This 1202-nucleotide ribosomal RNA is filed under the name 'Cannabis sativa' little leaf phytoplasma. RNAcentral describes it as "bacterial SSU rRNA". It matches the Rfam family "Bacterial small subunit ribosomal RNA", at positions 159 to 1362 of the family's 1533-position model. Lineage: Bacteria; Bacillati; Mycoplasmatota; Mollicutes; Acholeplasmatales; Acholeplasmataceae. The record is from RNAcentral.